GAUGAACGCUGGCGGCGUGCCUAAUACAUGCAAGUCGAGCGAACAGAUGAGGAGCUUGCUCCUCUGACGUUAGCGGCGGACGGGUGAGUAACACGUGGAUAACCUACCUAUAAGACUGGGAUAACUUCGGGAAACCGGAGCUAAUACCGGAUAAUAUAUUGAACCGCAUGGUUCAAUAGUGAAAGACGGUUUUGCUGUCACUUAUAGAUGGAUCCGUGCCGCAUUAGCUAGUUGGUAAGGUAACGGCUUACCAAGGCAACGAUGCGUAGCCGACCUGAGAGGGUGAUCGGCCACACUGGAACUGAGAAACGGUCCAGACUCCUACGGGAGGCAGCAGUAGGGAAUCUUCCGCAAUGGGCGAAAGCUUGACGGAGCAACGCCGCGUGAGUGAUGAAGGUCUUCGGAUCGUAAAACUCUGUUAUUAGGGAAGAACAAAUGUGUAAGUAACUAUGCACGUCUUGACGGUACCUAAUCAGAAAGCCACGGCUAACUACGUG
Molecule: ribosomal RNA, 497 nt
Filed under: uncultured bacterium
Lineage: Bacteria
Description: partial 16S ribosomal RNA
Rfam family: Bacterial small subunit ribosomal RNA
Source: RNAcentral